Molecule: ribosomal RNA, 274 nt
Filed under: uncultured bacterium
Lineage: Bacteria
Description: partial 16S ribosomal RNA
Rfam family: Bacterial small subunit ribosomal RNA
Source: RNAcentral
AUACGGAGGGUGCGAGCGUUGUUCGGAAUUAUUGGGCGUAAAGAGCAUGUAGGCGGUCUGUUAAGUCUGGUGUGAAAGCCCGGGGCUCAACCCCGGAGGUGCAUUGGAUACUGGCAGACUUGAGUAUGGGAGAGGAAAGCGGAAUUCCGAGUGUAGGAGUGAAAUCCGUAGAUAUUCGGAGGAACACCAGUGGCGAAGGCGGCUUUCUGGACCAAUACUGACGCUGAGAUGCGAAAGCGUGGGGAGCAAACAGGAUUAGAAACCCCGGUAGUCC